AGUGAACGCUGGCGGUAGGCCUAACACAUGCAAGUCGAACGGCAGCACAGUAAGAGCUUGCUCUUACGGGUGGCGAGUGGCGGACGGGUGAGGAAUACAUCGGAAUCUACUUUUUCGUGGGGGAUAACGUAGGGAAACUUACGCUAAUACCGCAUACGACCUACGGGUGAAAGCAGGGGAUCUUCGGACCUUGCGCGAUUGAAUGAGCCGAUGUCGGAUUAGCUAGUUGGCGGGGUAAAGGCCCACCAAGGCGACGAUCCGUAGCUGGUCUGAGAGGAUGAUCAGCCACACUGGAGCUGAGACACGGUCCAGCCUCCUACGGGAGGCAGCAGUGGGGAAUAUUGGACAAUGGGCGCAAGCCUGAUCCAGCCAUACCGCGUGGGUGAAGAAGGCCUUCGGGUUGUAAAGCCCUUUUGUUGGGAAAGAAAAGCAGCAGGUUAAUACCCCGCUGUUCUGACGGUACCCAAAGAAUAAGCACCGGCUAACUUCGU
This 491-nucleotide ribosomal RNA is filed under the name uncultured bacterium. RNAcentral's name for it is "partial 16S ribosomal RNA". It matches the Rfam family "Bacterial small subunit ribosomal RNA", at positions 29 to 506 of the family's 1533-position model. The record is from RNAcentral.